Molecule: long non-coding RNA, 198 nt
Organism: Bufo bufo (common toad)
Lineage: Eukaryota; Metazoa; Chordata; Amphibia; Anura; Bufonidae
Exons: 3
Source: RefSeq, a predicted model, not a curated record
AAUUCAAUUGUAUUGCCGUCCUGAGGACAGCAAUACAGUUAAAGAGGAUGGAAAACAUUUUUGAACUCUAGUGAAUGUGGGGAUAAACUCUUGGGAGGAUGGGAGAGAGUAAGGAGAGCAAUCUCGUGUGAAAAAUGGAGAGAGUCCCAUUUCAAACUACUACACAGGGCGAUAUAUGCCUUUAACAUUCCAUUCAAA